Molecule: non-coding RNA, 664 nt
Organism: Nicotiana tabacum (common tobacco)
Lineage: Eukaryota; Viridiplantae; Streptophyta; Magnoliopsida; Solanales; Solanaceae
Source: RefSeq, a predicted model, not a curated record
GAACAAAUAAUUUUGUUAAAAACAAGGUUUGGUUUCGACCAUAUAACCAUUAGUAAAUAUGGCCCUUCUAGAUUACAUCUCAUCAGACAAAUUGAAGUAUGUUUGGAUCUCGAUGACCACCUUGAUGACAUCAGCAAGUAAGAGUGUUAUAAUAUAAUCGGACUGAACUCUCUAAUAUCCCCAUUCUUUCUAAAAGUCACAUGCUUUUCUGCUUUUGCUCAUCUAUUGAUAGGGACUGGGUGAAUAUAAUGCUCUUCAAUUGAACUUUCUGUGUGGAAUUGGCUAUUGUCCUGUUGGUGCCCUCUCAUGGGAGGUGAAAACAACUUCAGGAAAACUGGUGCUCAUUUCAAGACUUCUCACAUGGACAUAUCUGCUAUCUCACCUUAGACCAAGUAUUAGAUUGUGGUUUGUGAUUCUGCUGGUGUUGUGACAACAUUUUAUAUGUGCUCGGAAGUUGAUGCAGCGCCGUUGAGAGAUGAGAUAGAUUUUGAAUUCUUGGGAAACAGAAUAGGAUUGCUUUAUCUUAUUCAAAAGCUAGAGCCCUAUUUUUGUAGACAUGAUCAAAUUAAUAAAACAAAUCAUGUUGUAUCCUCUUUUAUCUUCUAUUUGCUGUUGUAUUGGUUUACAUUUAUGGUUCAGUAUACAAGACUAGACACUUGUGCUA